RNAcentral lists this ribosomal RNA (506 nucleotides) under uncultured bacterium. RNAcentral describes it as "partial 16S ribosomal RNA". It matches the Rfam family "Bacterial small subunit ribosomal RNA", at positions 29 to 523 of the family's 1533-position model. The record is from RNAcentral.
AGUGAACGCUGGCGGUAGGCCUAACACACGCAAGUCGAACGGCAGCACAGGAGAGCUUGCUCCCUGGGUGGCGAGUGGCGGACGGGUGAGGAAUACAUCGGAAUCUACUUUUUCGUGGGGGAUAACGUAGGGAAACUUACGCUAAUACCGCAUACGACCUACGGGUGCAAGCAGGGGAUCUUCGGAACUUGCGCGAUUGAAUGAGCAGAUGUCGGAUUAGCUAGUUGGCGGGGUAGAGGCCCACCAAGGCGACGAUCCGAAGCUGGUCGGAGAGGAUGAUCAGCUACACUGGAACUGAGACACGGUCCAGACUCCUACGGGAGGCAGCAGUGGGGAAUAUUGGACAAUGGGCGCAAGCCUGAUCCAGCCAUACCGCGUGGGUGAAGAAGGCCUUCGGGUUGUAAAGCCCUUUUGUUGGGAAAGAAAUCCAGCUGGUUAAUACCCGGUUGGGAUGACGGUACCCAAAGAAUAAGCACCGGCUAACUUCGUGCCAGCCGCCGCUGUAA